This 1439-nucleotide long non-coding RNA is filed under the name Marmota monax (woodchuck). Lineage: Eukaryota; Metazoa; Chordata; Mammalia; Rodentia; Sciuridae. The record is from RNAcentral.
AAAUAUUAUUAUGUCAGAUCACAAAUUCCAGACACAUUUAUCUGUAUAAAUAUGUGAAAAAUAUUCAUGUAUAAUAUCCCAUGUUUCUAUUUGUCAAUGAAUAUAUGAAUAAAUAUUACAUAUAAAUAAAUAUGUACAUAUGUAAAUGUAUUUACAUGUGUGUAUGUGUCACAUACAUACAUGUAAAUAUAUGAGUAUUUUGUCAAUAUAAUUGUCCAUGAGGUAAUACUGAGAGAGUACUGUUGGGAGAAAGUCCAUAAUGCAAUGAUUUGGGAAAGAAUUUUUUAAAAAGAAAAUUUAUACAUAUAUAUGCACAUAUAUACAUACAUGCAUAGUUAUGUACAUAUAUAUGUAAGGUUUGAAGCAGGACAUAGCUGUAUUUAGAUUUAAAACUAAUAGCUCAUAGCAGACCAAAUGAUACAAAUAUGAUAUUUUCCUAACAGUUAUUCCCUCAUUCAAAUACAGAAUUUUUUUUCGAACACUCAAUGGGAACAUUCCUGUUGUGGCAAUACUAGUAUUUCAACAUUGAGUUUACAACAUUUACGAAAUUCCACGGAUGCCUCUUGAAAUGUUCAUAGUUCUCAUUCAACAUCAUAGCAAAAUAUAAAUAUCUGAGUAUGGAUUAAAAUCUACAUGAAUGCAAUGAUCUACUAUAUAAAUGUGUUCUCUCCAGAAACGGUUCCCACUCAACCUCUCCCCUCUCUUUCAUUCACAUUCUUUCUCCUCCUCUCUCAAUUUGCAUAAGUCUAGGUACACACUCUACACAACAUGUAAGAGAAAAAUUUAGAGGCACAAUCUAUAUUUAUCUGUAACCAUAUUUUAUAUCACAUACUGUCUAAAAAAUCACCCUUGUAAUAUUUUUAUCGGAAAUAAAAUCUAGCGGUGAAAAAAUAUAUCUUGCUGACUUUAUGGUACUUCAUUUAACACAUACAGUAUAAAGGCCCAUUUGGAAAAGAUCUUUCUGAAAAAGGGGUUAUCUCAUCAAUCAAGCACUUCCUGUGUGUGUAUUGUAAAUAAUAAAUGUAUGCCACAUGUGUAGCUGGAAGAACGCUGGAAAAAACUCUAUAGGCGUGUGGAGGAAAUACAGCUAAAAUAACUUCACCCAACCCAGUUCAUUCCACUCAGCAAAAUCUGGGCAAGCCAAAUUCAUCAAUAUUGAUUUCAGGUUUCAUCAGCAGGGAUUUUUGAACAAGACUUUUUUCCCUACAUUUUCCAUUUGACAUUUCUCAUUAGACUCAAAGCUUUCACUGUGUAUGAGUCUUUUCAUGUAAUUCAAAACCAAGUUCAUCAAGAAACCUUCCCAACAUAAAGGAACAGUAGACCCAUUUGCUGCUUGAAGAAGUAAAUUUGUACAUUUUGACAGUCUUCAUAUGUCAAUCCAGAAUCCCUGCUUCCUCUUUAUCCUAUUUUUUAGAGUAAAUAUGUCGAUUUCUCUCUCU